AAUUUAAAAAUGUAUAUAGCUGGGCAGUGGUGGCACACACCUUUAAUCCCAGCACUAGGGAGGCAGAGGCAGUUGGAUUUCUGUGAUCAGCCUGAUCUAC
MicroRNA precursor from Cricetulus griseus (Chinese hamster), 100 nucleotides. NCBI's taxonomy places the organism in Eukaryota, Metazoa, Chordata, Mammalia, Rodentia, Cricetidae. The record is from Ensembl.